ACAACCCCAAGUGAGAAGGCUAAAUUCAAACCUUCCCUGUGCCUAGCCACACGGAAGUUUACUUUGAUGUGAAGGCCUCUAGAUAGAUAUUACAGAAAUCACCUCCCAGGGGCCUGGAAACCACCACCCCCUCCCCCAUCAAACAUACCUCCUCUUGACUUUAAAUGGAAGAUGGAUGAUUAGAACACACACCUGACUUCCUUCCACACCUGCUCCUGCCUCCUCCCCAUUAUUUUCCAAACCUAAGAGCUGGGCUUUCUCUUCAGUUUUCAUCCUGAAGUAAUCCUAACUUCACUUCCAAAGCCAGCAGAUCAUUGCAGUGAUCAGGAGGAAGGUCAUGUGCACGGAAGCACAAAAGAGAAAUGCCAGUUAUUCCAUUUUUCAAAAUAGGAUCCUGCUUACAUCAUUCAAGACUUCCUAUUUGACUUAGGGUUUCAAUUUAAAGGUCGCUGUCUUCAGGAGGAUUUCCUUGACCCGUGGCAUCCCUCAGAACAUCUUGUG
This is a long non-coding RNA of Suricata suricatta (meerkat), 501 nucleotides long. RefSeq lists it as uncharacterized. The record is from RefSeq and is a predicted model, not a curated record. Lineage: Eukaryota; Metazoa; Chordata; Mammalia; Carnivora; Herpestidae. The transcript has 3 exons.